CAGCAAAAUCAGCAUCUGCCACCAUUUCCUCUGCAUUUCGUGGCCUCAAUCUCACAGCUACCCUAACUCUUCCAGGAACUCCAGCAUCGUCCUUGGCGGCUUCGGUGGCAGCGCCGAGAGAAGCAGGAGCACUUUUACGGAGGCCGGAACUAUUCAAGGACUUGGAUUUAAGAGAAGAAUUCUUGGGAUUUGAGUUGAGGGAGGCUUUGGUGCUACUAUUGAGAGAGGCCCUAGUGCCGUGAGUGCCAUUUCUGAAAUUACCAAAACCUGUAGCGGCCAUAGUGCAAAUGAAACGAAGCUAUCAUAAGGUCAAUGGAAGAAUGAAAGGAACAGCUGCUUCAGGUUGUUUUUUCUUUUUGGUUCCCGAGGAAAUAAUAAAUGUUUAGCGUUGUGAAAACGAUAAGCGAGAGGGAGAGGAAACGAGCACAGAUAAAUCCGGAAGUAGAGCGAAGAAGAGGGCGGAGGUGGAGAGUGGAGGUGGUGGG
This 485-nucleotide unclassified non-coding RNA is filed under the name Hevea brasiliensis (rubber tree). The record is from RNAcentral. Lineage: Eukaryota; Viridiplantae; Streptophyta; Magnoliopsida; Malpighiales; Euphorbiaceae.